Molecule: ribosomal RNA, 586 nt
Filed under: uncultured Neisseria sp.
Lineage: Bacteria; Pseudomonadati; Pseudomonadota; Betaproteobacteria; Neisseriales; Neisseriaceae
Description: bacterial SSU rRNA
Rfam family: Bacterial small subunit ribosomal RNA
Source: RNAcentral
CCUACGGGAGGCAGCAGUGGGGAAUUUUGGACAAUGGGCGCAAGCCUGAUCCAGCCAUGCCGCGUGUCUGAAGAAGGCCUUCGGGUUGUAAAGGACUUUUGUCAGGGAAGAAAAGGGCGGGGUUAAUACCCCUGUCUGAUGACGGUACCUGAAGAAUAAGCACCGGCUAACUACGUGCCAGCAGCCGCGGUAAUACGUAGGGUGCGAGCGUUAAUCGGAAUUACUGGGCGUAAAGCGAGCGCAGACGGUUACUUAAGCAGGAUGUGAAAUCCCCGGGCUCAACCUGGGAACUGCGUUCUGAACUGGGUGACUAGAGUGUGUCAGAGGGAGGUAGAAUUCCACGUGUAGCAGUGAAAUGCGUAGAGAUGUGGAGGAAUACCGAUGGCGAAGGCAGCCUCCUGGGAUAACACUGACGUUCAUGCUCGAAAGCGUGGGUAGCAAACAGGAUUAGAUACCCUGGUAGUCCACGCCCUAAACGAUGUCAAUUAGCUGUUGGGCAACUUGAUUGCUUAGUAGCGUAGCUAACGCGUGAAAUUGACCGCCUGGGGAGUACGGUCGCAAGAUUAAAACUCAAAGGAAUUGACGG